GCCAGAGUAGUGUAGUGGUUUGAAUGUCAGGUUACGAUCCUGGAGACCAGGGUUCGAUUCUCCGCUUGGUCA
This is a non-coding RNA of Phrynosoma platyrhinos (Desert horned lizard), 72 nucleotides long. NCBI's taxonomy places the organism in Eukaryota, Metazoa, Chordata, Lepidosauria, Squamata, Phrynosomatidae. The record is from the annotation of a GenBank genome assembly.